CACCGCAGUGCAUAAUAAAAAAACUGGAAGCACUUUUAUGACAACAGAAUCUUUUUCAUUCCUUUUCGAUAUUAGCAGCUGAGAUUGCUACGAAGAAACAUUGGGAGAAAAGAGGUAGAGUUCCCUUCUGUCAUCCCGGCAGGACAGCAGAGAUACAAUCACAGGAUCACUGCUCACUGCAGCCUGGAACUCCUGGACUCAAGCAAUGCUCCUGCGUCAGCCUCCCUAAUAGCUGGGACUACAGGAGGAGGAUACAUACAGAAAUCUAAUGAUUUUGAGAUAUGCACUACCUCAAAAAUUGUAUUCUCACUAUUUAGUUGACAUGUUGCGGAAGAUCUUUCAUAGCAUCUAAUCAGGUAUAAUUCCUGAA
This is a long non-coding RNA of Rhinopithecus roxellana (golden snub-nosed monkey), 370 nucleotides long. RefSeq lists it as uncharacterized. The record is from RefSeq and is a predicted model, not a curated record. The transcript has 3 exons. NCBI's taxonomy places the organism in Eukaryota, Metazoa, Chordata, Mammalia, Primates, Cercopithecidae.